This 328-nucleotide unclassified non-coding RNA is filed under the name soil metagenome. Its description in RNAcentral is "partial contains 5.8S ribosomal RNA, internal transcribed spacer 2, and large subunit ribosomal RNA". The stretch from base 1 to 120 matches the Rfam family "5.8S ribosomal RNA", at positions 35 to 154 of the family's 154-position model. The record is from RNAcentral.
GAUGAAGAACGCAGCGAAAUGCGAUAAGUAAUGUGAAUUGCAGAAUUCAGUGAAUCAUCGAAUCUUUGAACGCACAUUGCGCCCCUUGGUAUUCCGAGGGGCAUGCCUGUUCGAGCGUCAUUAUACCCCUCAAGCUCAGCUUGGUGUUGGGGCCUGCUGCACUGGCAGCCCUUAAAAUCAGUGGCGGCGCCAUCUGGCUCUAAGCGUAGUAAUUCUUCUCGCUAUGGAGUCCUGGUGGAUGCUUGCCAUCAACCCCCAAUUUUUCUAUGGUUGACCUCGGAUCAGGUAGGGAUACCCGCUGAACUUAAGCAUAUCAAUAAGCGGAGGA